AUAAACAUCUGGCGCAAGAGAGGGUGCAGCAAAAGAGUCAACAGGGAUUGCAACCAAAUCUUUAAUAUUAAGAGUAAGGCUACGACCAAAAUCAAAUGGAAAGUCAAUGGUAUAGACGUCAGUGCCAUCCUUGUGCAACACCCUGAAUGGUCCAAUACUAAGAGACUGUAAUUCCUUAAGAUGGAUCAUUACGCAACCCCAAGUUUGAAAUUCUUUAGCAUGAAAAUCAGCUUGCAUCUUAUAUUGAGCAGUACAUGCAUGGAUGCCCUUAUGGAUUUCCUGAUGCAACUUAUGAAUGUGUUGUGCAAAUGCAUAUGCAGGCUCAGAAAUCCUAACAUCAGUUUCGAUGAGUUAUGCGAGGGCAUAUCCAACUAUACUCAUGGUGGACUGGUCAGACUCGCUAUCUGACUGUGCAAGCGAGCUAGGUGUAGUGUGGGUGCAUCCUAGGAUUUCAGGUUUGUCAUCACACUCUUCCUCAAUGUCUUGAAUGUCAUUGAGGUUUGGUUCAUAGAUUUGCUCCUCUAAGUCAUCUAUGUCACCUCCCUGCUCUUGCUGAGCAAUGACGAAAAAUUUGUUAGCACAUUGGGAGGUAACGUGACCAAAACCUUGGCAUUUGUAAUACCGAAUUUUGGAAUGUGGUUUGGGAGGCUUACCAAGGAUUCCCUUGCCAUUAGUGUCUCGGCCUGAGACAUGAGCAGUAGAAGGGGGCCUAGGAGUAGUGGACCCUACAGAAGGUUUGGGCCCUGAAGAAUUAGGGCCCGUGGAAGUACUCCGUGUGUUAGGGCACCUUACAAAUGUGGAUUUAGUGUUCCAUCAAUUAAGGAGAUCAUCUUGGUGGUUACGAGGUAGGUAUUUUUCCUUAAGUCUCUCUUUCAUCUCUACCUAAUCAGUUAUUACAUAUUGAUAUCUCCUAGCUAACAGAUGUUCAGUGUUUUGCUAGAAAAGCUUAGCUCGACCAAUGAGCCUCAUUCUGGCAAACCAGACCUUCUUGUUCUCAAACAAAUUGUACCACUCAAA
RNAcentral lists this long non-coding RNA (1017 nucleotides) under Phoenix dactylifera (date palm). RNAcentral's name for it is "long non-coding RNA (PDAC_LNC007803)". Lineage: Eukaryota; Viridiplantae; Streptophyta; Magnoliopsida; Arecales; Arecaceae. The record is from RNAcentral.